UUUGUAUGGUUAUAUUACAGCAAUGCAGUAACAUGAAGUUUUCAUCACUGUUAUCCUCCGGGAAUUAUAGAGGGAUGUACAUAUUGCCUUGAAGCCAUUAAUUGUGAAGCAGAAUUCACAAAGCACUGACAACAGCAGCACCACCAAAGAAUCUUCAGAGCACCUCAUAAUUUCAAGACGGCAGACUGAAAAUCAAGGACAGCUAAAAGAAACAAUGCUGAGGGCUGCAGCUUUUCUGAACCAAAGAGCAUCACGAUAGGUAUGACAUUGCCAAAAUCCUACACAAGGAGUCAAGUUAGCUCCUGACUCAUAUAAUCAAUACACAUAUACAAAAAUCAAACUAA
Molecule: long non-coding RNA, 344 nt
Organism: Pipra filicauda (Wire-tailed manakin)
Lineage: Eukaryota; Metazoa; Chordata; Aves; Passeriformes; Pipridae
Exons: 3
Source: RefSeq, a predicted model, not a curated record